UGGGGAAUUUUGGACAAUGGGCGAAAGCCUGAUCCAGCAAUGCCGCGUGUGUGAAGAAGGCCUUCGGGUUGUAAAGCACUUUUGUCCGGAAAGAAAUCCUUGGCUCUAAUACAGUCGGGGGAUGACGGUACCGGAAGAAUAAGCACCGGCUAACUACGUGCCAGCAGCCGCGGUAAUACGUAGGGUGCAAGCGUUAAUCGGAAUUACUGGGCGUAAAGCGUGCGCAGGCGGUUUGCUAAGACCGAUGUGAAAUCCCCGGGCUCAACCUGGGAACUGCAUUGGUGACUGGCAGGCUAGAGUAUGGCAGAGGGGGGUAGAAUUCCACGUGUAGCAGUGAAAUGCGUAGAGAUGUGGAGGAAUACCGAUGGCGAAGGCAGCCCCCUGGGCCAAUACUGACGCUCAUGCACGAAAGCGUGGGGAGCAAAACAGGAUUAGAUACCCUGGUAGUCCACGCCCUAAAACGAUGUCAACUAGUUGUUGGGGAUUCAUUUCCUUAGUAACGUAGCUAACGCGUGAAGUUGACCGCCUGGGGAGUACGGUCGCAAGAUUAAAACUUAAAUGAAUUGACGGGGUCAUGCUGUUUCCU
Molecule: ribosomal RNA, 586 nt
Filed under: uncultured bacterium
Lineage: Bacteria
Description: partial 16S ribosomal RNA
Rfam family: Bacterial small subunit ribosomal RNA
Source: RNAcentral